Molecule: ribosomal RNA, 109 nt
Filed under: uncultured bacterium
Lineage: Bacteria
Description: partial 16S ribosomal RNA
Rfam family: Bacterial small subunit ribosomal RNA
Source: RNAcentral
AGAUGAGCCGCGUAGAUUAGCUGUUGGUGAGGUAAUGGCUCACCAAGGCAACGAUCUAUAGCUGGUUUGAGAGGAUGAUCAGCCACACUGGGACUGAGACACGGCCCAG